Molecule: ribosomal RNA, 374 nt
Filed under: uncultured organism
Description: bacterial SSU rRNA
Rfam family: Bacterial small subunit ribosomal RNA
Source: RNAcentral
CGUAGGGAGCAAGCGUUGUUCGGAUUUACUGGGCGUAAAGGGCGCGUAGGCGGCAAAUUAAGUCAGCUGUGAAAUCUCCGAGCUUAACUCGGAACGGUCAGCUGAUACUGAUCUGCUAGAGUGCGGAAGGGGCAAUCGGAAUUCUUGGUGUAGCGGUGAAAUGCGUAGAUAUCAAGAGGAACACCUGAGGUGAAGACGGGUUGCUGGGCCGACACUGACGCUGAGUGAGCGAAAGCCAGGGGAGCAAACGGGAUUAGAUACCCCGGUAGUCCUGGCCUUAAACGAUGAAUACUUGGUGUCUGGAGUCUCUAUAGCUCCGGGUGCCGUCGCUAACGUUUUUAGUAUUCCGCCUGGGGAGUACGCACGCAAGUGUG